GACGAACGCUGGCGGCGUGCUUAACACAUGCAAGUCGAACGAUGAUGCCCAGCUUGCUGGGCGGAUUAGUGGCGAACGGGUGAGUAAUACGUGAGUAACCUGCCCUUGACUCUGGGAUAAGCCUGGGAAACUGGGUCUAAUACUGGAUACUACCUCUUACCGCAUGGUGGGUGGUGGAAAGGGUUUUACUGGUUUUGGAUGGGCUCACGGCCUAUCAGCUUGUUGGUGGGGUAAUGGCUCACCAAGGCGACGACGGGUAGCCGGCCUGAGAGGGUGACCGGCCACACUGGGACUGAGACACGGCCCAGACUCCUACGGGAGGCAGCAGUGGGGAAUAUUGCACAAUGGGCGGAAGCCUGAUGCAGCGACGCCGCGUGAGGGAUGACGGCCUUCGGGUUGUAAACCUCUUUCAGUAGGGAAGAAGCGAGAGUGACGGUACCUGCAGAAGAAGCGCCGGCUAACUACGUGCCAGCAGCCGCGGUAAUACGUAGGGCGCAAGCGUUGUCCGGAAUUAUUGGGCGUAAAGAGCUCGUAGGCGGUUUGUCGCGUCUGCUGUGAAAGCCCGGGGCUCAACCCCGGGUCUGCAGUGGGUACGGGCAGACUAGAGUGCAGUAGGGGAGACUGGAAUUCCUGGUGUAGCGGUGAAAUGCGCAGAUAUCAGGAGGAACACCGAUGGCGAAGGCAGGUCUCUGGGCUGUUACUGACGCUGAGGAGCGAAAGCAUGGGGAGCGAACAGGAUUAGAUACCCUGGUAGUCCAUGCCGUAAACGUUGGGCACUAGGUGUGGGGGACAUUCCACGUUUUCCGCGCCGUAGCUAACGCAUUAAGUGCCCCGCCUGGGGAGUACGGCCGCAAGGCUAAAACUCAAAGGAAUUGACGGGGGCCCGCACAAGCGGCGGAGCAUGCGGAUUAAUUCGAUGCAACGCGAAGAACCUUACCAAGGCUUGACAUUCACCGGACUACCCCAGAGAUGGGGUUUCCCUUCGGGGCUGGUGGACAGGUGGUGCAUGGUUGUCGUCAGCUCGUGUCGUGAGAUGUUGGGUUAAGUCCCGCAACGAGCGCAACCCUCGUUCUAUGUUGCCAGCACGUGAUGGUGGGGACUCAUAGGAGACUGCCGGGGUCAACUCGGAGGAAGGUGGGGAUGACGUCAAAUCAUCAUGCCCCUUAUGUCUUGGGCUUCACGCAUGCUACAAUGGCCGGUACAAAGGGUUGCGAUACUGUGAGGUGGAGCUAAUCCCAAAAAGCCGGUCUCAGUUCGGAUUGAGGUCUGCAACUCGACCUCAUGAAGUCGGAGUCGCUAGUAAUCGCAGAUCAGCAACGCUGCGGUGAAUACGUUCCCGGGCCUUGUACACACCGCCCGUCAAGUCACGAAAGUUGGUAACACCCGAAGCCGGUGGCCUAACCCCUUGUGGGAGGGAGCCGUCGAAGGUGGGACUGGCGAUUGGGACU
Molecule: ribosomal RNA, 1448 nt
Filed under: Kocuria sp.
Lineage: Bacteria; Bacillati; Actinomycetota; Actinomycetes; Micrococcales; Micrococcaceae
Description: bacterial SSU rRNA
Rfam family: Bacterial small subunit ribosomal RNA
Source: RNAcentral